RNAcentral lists this ribosomal RNA (450 nucleotides) under uncultured bacterium. Its description in RNAcentral is "partial 16S ribosomal RNA". It matches the Rfam family "Bacterial small subunit ribosomal RNA", at positions 354 to 796 of the family's 1533-position model. The record is from RNAcentral.
GUGGGGAAUUUUGGACAAUGGGGGCAACCCUGAUCCAGCAAUGCCGCGUGCAGGAAGAAGGCCUUCGGGUUGUAAACUGCUUUUGUACGGAACGAAACGGUCUGGGUUAAUACCCUGGGCUAAUGACGGUACCGUAAGAAUAAGCACCGGCUAACUACGUGCCAGCAGCCGCGGUAAUACGUAGGGUGCGAGCGUUAAUCGGAAUUACUGGGCGUAAAGCGUGCGCAGGCGGUUUUGUAAGACAGGCGUGAAAUCCCCGGGCUCAACCUGGGAAUGGCGCUUGUGACUGCAAAGCUGGAGUGCGGCAGAGGGGGAUGGAAUUCCGCGUGUAGCAGUGAAAUGCGUAGAUAUGCGGAGGAAACCCGAUGGCGAAGGCAAUCCCCUGUGCCUGCACUGACGCUCAUGCACGAAAGCGUGCGGAGCAAACAGGAUUAGAUACCCGUGUAGUCC